This 465-nucleotide ribosomal RNA is filed under the name uncultured bacterium. RNAcentral's name for it is "partial 16S ribosomal RNA". It matches the Rfam family "Bacterial small subunit ribosomal RNA", at positions 338 to 795 of the family's 1533-position model. The record is from RNAcentral.
CCUACGGGUGGCAGCAGUAGGGAAUCUUCCACAAUGGGCGAAAGCCUGAUGGAGCAACGCCGCGUGGGUGAAGAAGGUCUUCGGAUCGUAAAACCCUGUUGUUAGAGAAGAAAGUGCGUGAGAGUAACUGUUCACGUUUCGACGGUAUCUAACCAGAAAGCCACGGCUAACUACGUGCCAGCAGCCGCGGUAAUACGUAGGUGGCAAGCGUUAUCCGGAUUUAUUGGGCGUAAAGGGAACGCAGGCGGUCUUUUAAGUCUGAUGUGAAAGCCUUCGGCUUAACCGGAGUAGUGCAUUGGAAACUGUGAGACUUGAGUGCAGAAGAGGAGAGUGGAACGCCAUGUGUAGCGGUGAAAGGCGUAGAUAUAUGGAAGAACACCAGUGGCGAAAGCGGCUGUCUGGUCUGUAACUGACGCUGAGGUUCGAAAGCGUGGGUAGCAAACAGGAUUAGAUACCCCUGUAGUC